ACUGCUUUUAAUUGUGAUAAUUUUCUGAAAAUUAUUCUUUAGGGGAACAUCAAGUCUUUCUAUGCAGUGACUAAGAUAGAGGUCUUAGUUUUAAAGAGAUUAUGCCUAAGUAAAUAUGAAGGCUACUUAUUGUAGAAGGUAAGGGGUAGUGUAUACCAGCCCUGAAUGCCUUUAUCACUCUGGAACAUCACUGUGGUGCUUCAGAGCUCGGAAGGUCACAGCCAUUCCAGGGAUUGCAAUAGUAAUGGCUGGCGGGUGUGGAGUCCUGGUUUUCUGGCC
Molecule: long non-coding RNA, 279 nt
Filed under: Bos taurus (domestic cattle)
Lineage: Eukaryota; Metazoa; Chordata; Mammalia; Artiodactyla; Bovidae
Description: long non-coding RNA NONBTAT014824
Source: RNAcentral